CAGGUAUUAACCGAGGUCUGGAACGGGUGCGUGCGCAAUAAUAGGGUCAUUUCAUCUUUAAGAACACAUUGUUACCAACAGAGACAUUAACACAAUUGAAAAUCCUUUUCUAAAAUGUGCAACGUACAACAAACGUAUUAAAAGUGAAUAGGUAACAGGGUAUUAACAGAGCGCUGGAACUGGUGCAUGCGCGCUAAUAGGGUCAUUUCAUCUCUUAGAAAACAUUAUUACCACCAGAGAUAUGAACUUAAUUGAAAAUCCUUUUCUAAAAGGUUCUACGUACAACAAACGUAUUAUAAGUGAAUAGGUAACAGGGUAUUAACCGAGCGCUGGAACGGGUACAUGCGCGCUAAUAGGGUAAUUUCAUUUUUUAAAACACAUUGUUACCAUCAAAGACACGGACACAAUUGAAAAUCCUUUUCUAAAAGGUGCAACGUACAACAAACGCAUUAUCAGUGAAUAGGUAACGAAUAGGUAACAGGUUAAUUACCGAGCGCUGGAACGGGUACAUGCGCGCUAAUAGGGUCAUUUCAUCUCUAAGAACACAUUGUUACACCAAGAGACAUGGGCACAAUUGAAUUUUUUUUUAAAAGG
This 594-nucleotide long non-coding RNA is filed under the name Mytilus galloprovincialis (Mediterranean mussel). Lineage: Eukaryota; Metazoa; Mollusca; Bivalvia; Mytilida; Mytilidae. The record is from RNAcentral.